RNAcentral lists this ribosomal RNA (253 nucleotides) under uncultured bacterium. RNAcentral describes it as "partial 16S ribosomal RNA". It matches the Rfam family "Bacterial small subunit ribosomal RNA", at positions 524 to 776 of the family's 1533-position model. The record is from RNAcentral.
UACGUAGGGUCCAAGCGUUAUCCGGAAUUACUGGGCGUAAAGCGUGCGCAGGCGGUUCUAUAAGACAGAUGUGAAAUCCCCGGGCUCAACCUGGGAACUGCAUUUGUGACUGUAGAGCUGGAGUACGGCAGAGGGGGAUGGAAUUCCGCGUGUAGCAGUGAAAUGCGUAGAUAUGCGGAGGAACACCGAUGGCGAAGGCAAUCCCCUGGGCCUGUACUGACGCUCAUGCACGAAAGCGUGGGGAGCAAACAGG